CCACAUGGGGUCACUGUGUGUCCACACAGUGGAGCUGCUGUCAAUGUUCUCAAAUGACUCCUGCUUCCUGUAAUUCCUAGACAUCUGAGUUCAAGGGACAAUGCACUCAAUUCCAAAGCAAAAUGUGAUUUGCUAUCUCAGGCAGGCACAGUGACUGAACAGGCCUAUGGCAAAACUUCCAAUUUUUAGAGUACCACUACAAAUAUGAAUUUGAAAGAAAAAACAAUGUCCCCAAAUGAUCACAUCAAAGAUCAUCAUGAUAUAAACAAAUACCAAUGUGGAAAUAAAACUUCCUUUCUUAUAUUUGAACUUGCAGCACACUACCUCUUCUAUGUAGGUUUUUCUCAUCACCACCUCCUUCAUACAGUUUACUUGUUCCCCAUUUGUCUGCACAGGUCUAGUCAUUUGUAUUCAUGUUCAAGUAGAAUGAGUUUCCUGCAGGUUGGGAACAUUGUUUAUCUAUCUUCAUUUUCAGUUCAACUCAAACAACAAAACUCAUGACAUGUGGAAAAAAUUGGAACCAUGUUCUUGGAAUAAAAGUUUGGUCAUUCUCACAUUUACAUAUAAAGUCCUGGAUGAGUUUAAGAAUACUCCAUAAAGUCUGAACUACAUGAUGUUAGAAACAACCCAAUAAUAAACAAUUCCUUCUUCAGAUGAGGAAACUGAGGUCAAGAUUAAGUGGGUGGCUUAGAGACACUUGGUAAAUUGGUGUCGGAAUGAAACUAUCCAUCCUUGUCUUCACUCUGUCCACUGGCCUUAUAGUUCACUCCAUGCAAUCACUAAGUCCCAAAUAAACCAUUUAGAGAUCUCAAUACUUCCUGGCAAUGUUAAAAGCAGAAAUGUGUUGAUUUGACACUAAAACUUCAACACGCUUUUCCUUCUAUUUGAAAGCACUCACUCAGGUGGUCUGGGUUCCUAUGGCAUUGCCCCUUCCUUUUACUUUUUUUGAUAUUAGUUAAAUCUGCUUGGAGGGACUCCUUUCUUCAUCUGUACAAUCUUUGGGAUGCAUGAGCUGAAUUACGAAGGGGAUGAAUUCUUUGGGAAAUAACUUAUAUACAUAGAAGUUUCCCUCCUGUGACCUACCUCAGUCAGCAAAGGGAGUUGAAGCUCAUGGAAUACUUUUGGCUCCCACACUGAUGUUCCUGCCUGCUAUGAUCUUCAGAUUUGGCAGUUGUCGUUACUAUAGAGAAGCCCUUUUCGUCAUGCUUGAGAUUAGUUUACCACUUAAUAAAUUCCUUCCAACACCAUGUUCUGUGAGUUAACAAGCAACUUCCCCUGUGAUUUCAGUCUGGCUCACAACAAAUUACACUUUGGAAAAAGAUUUACUAGUCCAGAGCAUUUUCCAGGUAGCACAUUCCAACCUUGAAGAAACUUGGUCAUUUUUACUUUCAGACUUGUGGUGUCCUUUUGGCUGAAAAUAACACAUCAAGGUGUGGCAUGCCCUGUUCUCUGGCAUCAAAAGUUCUUUUCUAGAUAAUAUUUUAGACCAGACUAUCCUUUUUUCAAAGCAGUUUUUAUAAAGCCCUGUUUGGGAAAUUAUUUAUAUAAUUUACAAUAUCUGCUGGGCAAAUCCUCAGCACUCGUUUUCACUAGGUUUUUAUGGAGCACCAACAAUAGAUAGUUUUGUGCCGACCAUGGUGUAAGGCAUUAAAAGGUGCUCUCAUAUAAUUGUUUUGUCCCUGACAUACCUUGGAUUUUCCCACCCUUUUCUUAAGUAACUUGAUUCAAAGAGGAGUUUCUGUGUGCUAAUUUAAUGAAAUAUAGUCACCAGUGAUUUUGUCCAAAAUUGUUCCACUAAAUGAGUGCCUGCUGAUAGCAGACAGCUUGAGUGGCCCGUGAAACUUCUCAUAAAGAAGAUAGGCAUUUGGAAGUUGCAUCUAGUUGACUUCGGACCUCUCCUCACAACACAAAGGAACUUCAUUUUAUUACAGCAAAUGUCCAUCAAGUUGUAGCCAAUGACACCAGUCUUUGUUUCACCAGCCAGCAAUAAAAGAUAAAGCAGAGGAAAUGGAGGCGCUGUAGCAAGGCGUUUGCAACACACCAAGCCCGUGUUUUCCCACUAGGCACUGCAGAACAGCGGCUGUCCAUGCACAGCACACCCUCUGCAUUUCAGAGCUAAUAUUUUGGCAGUUCUCAACUUGGUACAUUACAGUCUUACGCAGUUAAUUUUGUUAACCCUUUGAAGUGUUCUAUGUGUUUGAUAACCUGGCUUCGUAGCCCUGCUAACAUGACCCAGAUUGACAGAUGGCUGAUUCUCAGUAUUGAGAAUAGAAACUUCAAGGAAAUAAAGUAAGACAUUUGAGAGGAAGGUAAUGAUUUCAAACAACCCUGUCUUACUUACUGUCGCAUGACUUUGACUAGGAAAAGAAGAAAGCUGUUACAAAAUAUCUGUCACUUGAAUUGCCUUCACAAUAAUUGUUUCUGUGAAUAAGAAUUUUUCAUAGUAGAGACCCCUUGGGCCUAUUACAACGUCCCACUGAAAACAGCAUUAGCUCUGUGUUCCGUCUCUCUCCUGCAGCAUUUAGUGUGUUUCCUGGAUACAAAUGCACACGCCUGCCUUCUGGUGCAAAGAGCUUUCCUCUACCAUUGCAAUAGUCACCCUGGACAGACUAAAUGAAGAACAGAAUUUUUAGAUGAUUAAUUAGUCCCCAGGCUCAAUCACUUAAGGCCCUAAUUAAAUAUCUGGCUCUGCUUUCAACUGAUGUAAGAAAAGAUAAUUAGCAAAAUUUGCAGUGGUAAUAAAGUUUUAUUUUCCUUAGUGAUAAUAAGAUCUAAAUCAUUGGCUGUGUAACUUAGUGCCUACAUCUAGCCUGUUGACUUUGAAAUUCAAAACAUUUUUAAACUAGAAGACAACAAGGCAAGAAGUCAUUCCGCCCCCAUCCAGAUUCUAUGAUUCAGAUACCUUCUAUCAAUCUGUGUCUAGCUGCUUCCUCUUUCCCACUAAUUUCUUAAAUUAGUUAUCGGCUAUUCACCAAGACGAUAAACUCGAGACAAACCUAACUUUCUUUUUUCCCUGUUCCACAAACCUCACUAAACCCUUUACCAACAUUUCCCUACCUUGUUCCACCAAAAAUAAAAAAAGAACCCAACUGAAAGAUUUACAUUGGAAAAGAAAUAUUGCAUUCAUUAAAAAGAAAUGUU
Molecule: long non-coding RNA, 3141 nt
Organism: Perognathus longimembris pacificus (Pacific pocket mouse)
Lineage: Eukaryota; Metazoa; Chordata; Mammalia; Rodentia; Heteromyidae
Exons: 5
Source: RefSeq, a predicted model, not a curated record